GAUGAACGCUGGCGGCGUGCUUAACACAUGCAAGUCGAACGAUGUAGCCCAGCUUGCUGGGUGGAUUAGUGGCGAACGGGUGAGUAACACGUGAGUAACCUGCCCUUGACUCUGGGAUAAGCCUGGGAAACUGGGUCUAAUACUGGAUAUGACUUCUCAUCGCAUGGUGGGGGGUGGAAAGAUUUAUUGGUCUUGGAUGGACUCGCGGCCUAUCAGCUUGUUGGUGAGGUAAUGGCUCACCAAGGCGACGACGGGUAGCCGGCCUGAGAGGGUGACCGGCCACACUGGGACUGAGACACGGCCCAGACUCCUACGGGAGGCAGCAGUGGGGAAUAUUGCACAAUGGGCGCAAGCCUGAUGCAGCGACGCCGCGUGAGGGAUGACGGCCUUCGGGUUGUAAACCUCUUUCAGUAGGGAAGAAGCGAGAGUGACGGUACCUGCAGAAGAAGCGCCGGCUAACUACGUG
RNAcentral lists this ribosomal RNA (466 nucleotides) under uncultured bacterium. RNAcentral describes it as "partial 16S ribosomal RNA". It matches the Rfam family "Bacterial small subunit ribosomal RNA", at positions 28 to 507 of the family's 1533-position model. The record is from RNAcentral.